AGAGUUGUAGCUCAACGGUAGAGCGCUUGCCUCACAUGUGUGAGACACUGGGUUUGAUCCCCAGCACCACAU
RNAcentral lists this transfer RNA (72 nucleotides) under Ictidomys tridecemlineatus (thirteen-lined ground squirrel). RNAcentral's name for it is "Spermophilus tridecemlineatus (thirteen-lined ground squirrel) tRNA". It matches the Rfam family "tRNA". From Rfam's summary of the family: Transfer RNA (tRNA) molecules are approximately 80 nucleotides in length. Their secondary structure includes four short double-helical elements and three loops (D, anti-codon, and T loops). Lineage: Eukaryota; Metazoa; Chordata; Mammalia; Rodentia; Sciuridae. The record is from Rfam by way of RNAcentral.